RNAcentral lists this long non-coding RNA (366 nucleotides) under Oryza sativa Indica Group (long-grained rice). RNAcentral's name for it is "lncRNA OsKYG_08g0005210". The record is from RNAcentral. Lineage: Eukaryota; Viridiplantae; Streptophyta; Magnoliopsida; Poales; Poaceae.
AGAGAGAGAGAAAGAGAGAAAGGCAAAACACACAGGAGGAGGGGACACACGCCUCCGCCUCCACCUCCUCCCGAGGCGAUAGCGAGCUCGCCUCCGCCUCCGCCUCCGCCGCGCCGCCCCGCCGACGACGAGGAGGAAGAGGCGACGCCACCGCCGCCGCCGCAGGAGGAGGAGGAGGCGACGCCCGUGGGGAGCUCGCGCGACGCCGGAUCUCGCGAUCUGAGGGGCCCCCGCGCCAAUUCCCCCGCAGGUGCGCGCGCGCUCCACCCCCCACGAUCCGCGGCGGGGCUCGAUCCCGAUUGGGGUUUUGCGGCGGUGGAGACGGAGAUGAGCGUGGAGAGCCCUGGAGGAGCCCCCGGGAGCUAG